This 162-nucleotide small nuclear RNA is filed under the name Canis lupus familiaris (dog). RNAcentral's name for it is "U4 spliceosomal RNA (ENSCAFG00845018636.1)". The stretch from base 1 to 82 matches the Rfam family "U4 spliceosomal RNA". From Rfam's summary of the family: U4 small nuclear RNA (U4 snRNA) is a component of the major U2-dependent spliceosome. The structure of U4 snRNA from yeast and human has been reported. The record is from RNAcentral. Lineage: Eukaryota; Metazoa; Chordata; Mammalia; Carnivora; Canidae.
AGCUUUGCACAGUGGCAGUAUUGAAGCCAAUGAGGUUUAUCUGAGGCUCAAUUAUUGCUAAUUGAAAAAAAAAAAAAAAAAAAAAACACUUUUUACCAGGAAGUGAGGAGGCAAGGCCAGGGGUUGGUGGAGGGGGUCACUUACUGAGACAGGCAAAUACAU